CUACGGUGCUGAAGUGACAAAUGCCCUGCUUCCAGGAAAAGCCUCUAAGCAUCAGGUAACAUCAAAUCGUACCCCAAACCGACACAGGUGGUCAGGUAGAGAAUACCAAGGCGCUUGAGAGAACUCGGGUGAAGGAACUAGGCAAAAUGGUGCCGUAACUUCGGGAGAAGGCACGCUGAUAUGUAGGUGAAGCGACUUGCUCGUGGAGCUGAAAUCAGUCGAAGAUACCAGCUGGCUGCAACUGUUUAUUAAAAACACAGCACUGUGCAAACACGAAAGUGGACGUAUACGGUGUGACGCCUGCCCGGUGCCGGAAGGUUAAUUGAUGGGGUUAGCGGUAACGCGAAGCUCUUGAUCGAAGCCCCGGUAAACGGCGGCCGUAACUAUAACGGUCCUAAGGUAGCGAAAUUCCUUGUCGGGUAAGUUCCGACCUGCACGAAUGGCGUAAUGAUGGCCAGGCUGUCUCCACCCGAGACUCAGUGAAAUUGAACUCGCUGUGAAGAUGCAGUGUACCCGCGGCAAGACGGAAAGACCCCGUGAACCUUUACUAUAGCUUGACACUGAACAUUGAGCCUUGAUGUGUAGGAUAGGUGGGAGGCUUUGAAGUGUGGACGCCAGUCUGCAUGGAGCCGACCUUGAAAUACCACCCUUUAAUGUUUGAUGUUCUAACGUUGGCCCGUAAUCCGGGUUGCGGACAGUGUCUGGUGGGUAGUUUGACUGGGGCGGUCUCCUCCUAAAGAGUAACGGAGGAGCACGAAGGUUGGCUAAUCCUGGUCGGACAUCAGGAGGUUAGUGCAAUGGCAUAAGCCAGCUUGACUGCGAGCGUGACGGCGCGAGCAGGUGCGAAAGCAGGUCAUAGUGAUCCGGUGGUUCUGAAUGGAAGGGCCAUCGCUCAACGGAUAAAAGGUACUCCGGGGAUAACAGGCUGAUACCGCCCAAGAGUUCAUAUCGACGGCGGUGUUUGGCACCUCGAUGUCGGCUCAUCACAUCCUGGGGCUGAAGUAGGUCCCAAGGGUAUGGCUGUUCGCCAUUUAAAGUGGUACGCGAGCUGGGUUUAGAACGUCGUGAGACAGUUCGGUCCCUAUCUGCCGUGGGCGCUGGAGAACUGAGGGGGGCUGCUCCUAGUACGAGAGGACCGGAGUGGACGCAUCACUGGUGUUCGGGUUGUCAUGCCAAUGGCACUGCCCGGUAGCUAAAUGCGGAAGAGAUAAGUGCUGAAAGCAUCUAAGCACGAAACUUGCCCCGAGAUGAGUUCUCCCUGAGACUUAGAGUCUCCUGAAGGAACGUUGAAGACGACGACGUUGAUAGGCCGGGUGUGUAAGCGCAGCGAUGCGUUGAGCUAACCGGUACUAAUGAACCGUGAGGCUUAACCUUACAACGCCGAAG
Molecule: ribosomal RNA, 1386 nt
Filed under: Escherichia coli
Lineage: Bacteria; Pseudomonadati; Pseudomonadota; Gammaproteobacteria; Enterobacterales; Enterobacteriaceae
Description: partial 23S ribosomal RNA
Rfam family: Bacterial large subunit ribosomal RNA
Source: RNAcentral